GAAAAUCCUAUUAUAUAGAACAGGCAACAAAAGAGAAGGGAGGGAAUUGAUUGAGAAAAACGCAUGCACCCCACCCAUGCAAAGUUCAUCAACACCUUAAUUACUUUAAUUAUUAUUAGUUUUUGGUACAUACUAAUUAUCACACAAAAACCACUGAAAAUUACACCAAGAAAUGAGAAAACCAAAGCUGCAAACUUAGAAAUGAAAACCCAAAU
RNAcentral lists this unclassified non-coding RNA (215 nucleotides) under Hevea brasiliensis (rubber tree). Lineage: Eukaryota; Viridiplantae; Streptophyta; Magnoliopsida; Malpighiales; Euphorbiaceae. The record is from RNAcentral.